This 2096-nucleotide long non-coding RNA is filed under the name Mus musculus (house mouse). RNAcentral's name for it is "long non-coding RNA chr2:49232687-49234783". The record is from RNAcentral. Lineage: Eukaryota; Metazoa; Chordata; Mammalia; Rodentia; Muridae.
GAAGAGAAAUCUAAAAGAGUAAAACCAGUAGAAGAGGCAACCUACAGAAUGGAAAAUGUAUUUACCAGCUAUACAAACUGGAAAAACUUAAUAUGCAAAACCUAUGUUUCUAAAACUAUAGCAAAAUAAGUAAUCCAGUUCUAAAAGAAAAAAAAUACAUUUUUCAAAAGACUUAGAGAAAUUCAAGUUGAAACCAUAAUGAGAUGCGACUUCACUCCAACAAGCAUGGUUGUAAUUGAAAAGACAAAAGAUAACAAUUGCUGGUGUAGAUGUGGAAAAUGAAAACCGUACAUACUGCUGGUAAGAAAGCAAAUUAGUAUGACAAUCCCCAAAGCAAAGUCUAAAGUAGAGCUGUUAUCUGACACAGCAGUCUCAUGAUUGGGUAUAUGUCCAAAAGAUGGAGUUGGUGUGUGGAAGAGAUCUCCUUACUUAUAUAUUGAUUGUAGAUACAAAGUGUGUGCAUAUGUGUGUAUAAGCAGAUGAGUGCAUAUAAAGAAAAUAUGAUACACACACAUACACAUGAGGGUGGAAUCUAGUGUAGCCAUUACAAAGAAUAAAAUUCUACCAUUAGCAAUAACCUGGAGGAUAUUACCUGAAAUGUAAAAGUUGGACAAAGACAAAUACCACAUUAUCUCACCCAUUAGUGAAAUCUAAACCCCCCCAAAAAAAAAAAUUUCACAGAAGUAAAAAAUAGAAUGGUAGUUCGUUGCCCAUGGGCAGGGUUGGCUGUGCAAAAAAGGUUCUGAGAAAGAUGUUGGUCAAAUGGAACAUGAUUACAGAUGGGAUGGAUAAAUUUGAAGAAUUCUAUUCGGUAACUACAUGAUGACUAAGUGAUUAUUUUCAAUAAUAAUUUGGCCUUCAUAAAUUAACCUGCCUCUGAAGUAGCCAGAAUACUACUCCUACAAGGAUAAAAUGCAAAAACUACCACUCUUAUCUUGUGGUUUAUAUAAAUGUGCACCAGGUUUUAUUAUCACUAUUCUUCAUGACAAUCUUCAUAAUACAGAAAAGCAAAAAACUAACAUAAUAGAAUAAAUAUGUAGAAAUAUAUCAUAGAUAAUUUUCUUUCAUAAUAAUAGUGAGUUUCUUAUUUUAUAAAUACCCUAUUAUUUUUAAAGCUAAUUAUAAAAAAGACUUAAGGAUACGUAGUUGAGACCAGUUAUUGCUCAGUUUCUAUAUUUAAAAAAGACAUUGUUUAAAGAGAGCUGAAUAUUACAAGAGAGAAUUACAAAGGAAGCCUAAAUGUCCUGAGUUUUUGUUUGUUUGUUUUGUUGGGGUUUUUUUGUCCACUUGUCAGGAGCUAGGACUGUCAGGAAAGAGGAACUUCCAUUGAAAAACUGCCUCCAUCUAAUUACCUGUAGGCACGUCUUUGGGCAUUUUCUUGAUGAAUGAUAAAUCUGGAAGGGCUUAGCCCUUGGGGAGUGGUGGCAACCUUAGGCAGAGGGCAUCUAAGUAGUAUAGAAAAGCAAGCUGAGCAAGCCAUGAGGAACAAACCAGCAUGCAGUGUCCCUCUGUGAUCUCUGCUUCAGUUCCUGCCUCCAGGAGCCUGCUUUGACUUCCUUCAUGCAGGACUGUAAGCUGUAAUGAAGUAAACCCUCCCCUCCCCAGAUUACUGUGGUCAUGGUGUUUAUCCGAACAGAAGUGAAACUAGGAUACUAAUAUAAACACGGUCAUUAAAAAACUGGCAAAAGGGGGAAAAAAUGUGUGACAGUUUUACAAAUGAAACAAAUAAGGGAUACUUUGGUGAUGGGCAAGAAGCUGGGGUGGAAAAAUGAGAUCCAAGCAGAAAAGUAGGAGUGAUCCCAGGGGGAUCUAGAAGCCAGCAAGCAGCCUCAGCUUUUCUUCAUUCAGAUCAUCCAGGUUAACGGCUGCUCAUUCUCUUAAUUCUGGUUUUCUUUGGGGGGGAAAUAAAACACAAAAAUAAAUUGUAACACAGUCAUAAGCACAAAGUUUGUGCUUUGAACCAUUUCCCUGGUACUUCUGAGAAGCAGAAAACAUGAAUUCCCUGUUCUAUGGAUACUAUACUUAGGUUUUUAAAAUAGUAUUUUCCCAAUUACAGAGCUGAUGUUUGCUUAUUGUACAAAAAGAAAGAAAGAAAG